GAUGAACGCUGGCGGCGUGCUUAACACAUGCAAGUCGAACGGCGAACCCGUAGCUUGCUCUGUUUGAUCAGUGGCGAACGGGUGAGUAACACGUGAGCAACCUGCCCCUGACUCUGGGAUAAGCGCUGGAAACGGCGCCUAAUACUGGAUAUGUGACGUGAUCGCAUGGUCUGCGUCUGGAAAGAAUUUCGGUUGGGGAUGGGCUCGCGGCCUAUCAGCUUGUUGGUGAGGUAAUGGCUCACCAAGGCGUCGACGGGUAGCCGGCCUGAGAGGGUGACCGGCGACACUGGGACUGAGAGACGGAGCAGACUCCUACGGGAGGCAGCAGUGGGGAAUAUUGCACAAUGGGAGCAAGCCUGAUGCAGAAGCGCCGCGUGAGGGAUGCCGGCCUUCGGGUUGUGAACCGCUUUUGGCAGAGAAGAAGCGAUAGUGACGGUACCUGAAGAAAAAGCGCCGGCUAACUACGUG
RNAcentral lists this ribosomal RNA (468 nucleotides) under uncultured bacterium. Its description in RNAcentral is "partial 16S ribosomal RNA". It matches the Rfam family "Bacterial small subunit ribosomal RNA", at positions 28 to 507 of the family's 1533-position model. The record is from RNAcentral.